CGAGCACGCGCGUGUGGCAUAUCAAUAAGCGGAGGAAAAGAAACUAACAAGGAUUCCCUCAGUAACGGCGAGUGAAGCGGGAAGAGCUCAAAUUUGAAAUCUUCAAGGUUUUACCUUGACGAAUUGUAGUUUAUAGAAGUGUUUUCUGUUAGUGGUUUGGUAAAAGUUCUUUGGAAUAGGACAUCAUAGAGGGUGAGAAUCCCGUAUUUGGUCAUUCCUCCUAGCGUUGUGAUACACUUUCAACGAGUCGGAUUGUUUGGGAAUGCAGUCCAAAAUGGGUGGUAAAUUUCAUCUAAAGCUAAAUAUUGGCGAGAGACCGAUAGCGAACAAGUACCGUGAGGGAAAGAUGAAAAGAACUUUGAAAAGAGAGUUAAACAGUACGUGAAAUUGUCAAAAGGGAAGCGUUUGACACCAGUGUUGUUUUUCCGAAAAUCAAUUACGAAUGUUUUAUUUUUGAGGAGUUAUGACUUCAUCGGCUUGCUUCUCUCUUUACGAAACUUUCUUAAUGCACUUUUCGGUUAACAAGUCAACAUCAAUUUCUUUUGUUGUAAAAGGGUAUGAGGAAGGUGGCUUUCUUUUCGGAGAAAGUGUUUAUAGCCUUGUGACCUCUGCAAUCGGAGAGAUUGAGGUCUGCAGCGUAGAUCCUUCGGGGUUAGAUACAGUUUGUGCUAAGUUAUAGCUUUUCAUAGACAACUUGUUGACUAUGUUUAGUCUUGUAGCUUACUCGCUUAUGCUAUUUUACCUACGCUUAGGAUGUUGAUGUGAUACUGCGAGCA
This 776-nucleotide ribosomal RNA is filed under the name uncultured Neocallimastigales. RNAcentral describes it as "partial large subunit ribosomal RNA". It matches the Rfam family "Eukaryotic large subunit ribosomal RNA", at positions 19 to 646 of the family's 3401-position model. Lineage: Eukaryota; Fungi; Neocallimastigomycota; Neocallimastigomycetes; Neocallimastigales. The record is from RNAcentral.